UACGAAGGGGGCUAGCGUUGCUCGGAAUCACUGGGCGUAAAGCGCACGUAGGCGGGUUGUUAAGUCAGGGGUGAAAUCCUGGAGCUCAACUCCAGAACUGCCUUUGAUACUGGGAAGCUUGAGUCCGGAAGAGGUGAGUGGAACUCCGAGUGUAGAGGUGAAAUUCGUAGAUAUUCGGAAGAACACCAGUGGCGAAGGCGGCUCACUGGUCCGGUACUGACGCUGAGGUGCGAAAGCGUGGGGAGCAAACAGG
Molecule: ribosomal RNA, 253 nt
Filed under: uncultured bacterium
Lineage: Bacteria
Description: partial 16S ribosomal RNA
Rfam family: Bacterial small subunit ribosomal RNA
Source: RNAcentral